Odocoileus virginianus texanus is the source of this 430-nucleotide non-coding RNA. Lineage: Eukaryota; Metazoa; Chordata; Mammalia; Artiodactyla; Cervidae. The record is from RefSeq and is a predicted model, not a curated record.
ACACAUCCUAUGUGUCUACUGAUGGAAGGAACCAUCUUGACUUUGCUGAGUUCAGUUUUACUAACAUUCCAGCAAGUGCCUGGCCUGGAUAUGAUAUGCCAAUGGUAGAGACUUCAAAGGACAAAGGCUGUUUCUGUCACAGGAGAGAGAACACGGAGGGGCUGCUUAAAGAAAUAAAAUUGUAAAAUGAAGCCUUGGAACCUUUCAUAGAAUGCAAGCCCUUAACAAGGCUGUGGGCUCUACCUCCAAAGCACAACCUGGAUCCAGCCAUUUCUCACCAUCCCAAUUACAAGCUCUACCUCCAAAGCACAACCUGGAUCCAGCCAUUUCUCACCAUCCCAAUUACAACUCCGGGUAUAUCCAGGCCACCACUCACCCAUACCAGAGAGACUCCCAGCUGUACACUUCUCUGAAAGUUAUUAUCCACUCA